AGAGUUUGAUCCUGGCUCAGAGCGAACGCUGGCGGCAGGCUUAACACAUGCAAGUCGAGCAGGCCCUUCGGGGUCAGCGGCAGACGGGUGAGUAACACGUGGGAACGUACCCUUUGGUUCGGAAUAACGCUGGAAACUAGCGCUAAUACCGGAUACGCCCUUUUGGGGAAAGGCUUGCUGCCGAAGGAUCGGCCCGCGUCUGAUUAGCUAGUUGGUGGGGUAACGGCCUACCAAGGCGACGAUCAGUAGCUGGUCUGAGAGGAUGAUCAGCCACACUGGGACUGAGACACGGCCCAGACUCCUACGGGAGGCAGCAGUGGGGAAUAUUGGACAAUGGGCGCAAGCCUGAUCCAGCCAUGCCGCGUGAGUGAUGAAGGCCUUAGGGUUGUAAAGCUCUUUUGUCCGGGACGAUAAUGACGGUACCGGAAGAAUAAGCCCCGGCUAACUUCGUGCCAGCAGCCGCGGUAAUACGAAGGGGGCUAGCGUUGCUCGGAAUCACUGGGCGUAAAGGGCGCGUAGGCGGCCAUUCAAGUCGGGGGUGAAAGCCUGUGGCUCAACCACAGAAUUGCCUUCGAUACUGUUUGGCUUGAGUAUGGUAGAGGUUGGUGGAACUGCGAGUGUAGAGGUGAAAUUCGUAGAUAUUCGCAAGAACACCGGUGGCGAAAGCGGCCAACUGGACCAUUACUGACGCUGAGGCGCGAAAGCGUGGGGAGCAAACAGGAUUAGAUACCCUGAUAGUCCACGCCGUAAACGAUGAAUGCCAGCUGUUGGGGUGCUUGCACUUCAGUAGCGCAGCUAACGCUUUAAGCAUUCCGCCUGGGGAGUACGGUCGCAGAUUAAAACUCAAAUGAAUUGACGG
Molecule: ribosomal RNA, 859 nt
Filed under: uncultured bacterium
Lineage: Bacteria
Description: bacterial SSU rRNA
Rfam family: Bacterial small subunit ribosomal RNA
Source: RNAcentral